GUCUGGCUAGCUCAAUUGGGUAGAGCAUGAGACUCUUAAUCUCAGGGUUGUGGGUUCAAGUCCUACGUCGGGUG
This is a non-coding RNA of Mesocricetus auratus (golden hamster), 74 nucleotides long. NCBI's taxonomy places the organism in Eukaryota, Metazoa, Chordata, Mammalia, Rodentia, Cricetidae. The record is from Rfam.